AUUGAACGCUAGCGGGAUGCUUUACACAUGCAAGUCGAACGGAGUGGCGGACGGGUGAGUAAUAUAGAGGAACGUGCCAAGAAGCGGGGGAUAACUACGAGAAAGAGUGGCUAAUACAGCAAACUAUUGGAUCGGCCGAUAUCGGAUUAGCGAGUUGGUGGGGUAAAGGCUCACCAAGGAACCGAUCCGUAGCUGGUUUGAGAGGUCGACCAGCCACACUGGGACUGAGACACGGCCCAGACUCCUACGGGAGGCAGCAGUGGGGAAUUUUGGACAAUGGGUGAAACCCUGAUCCAGCCAUCCCGCGUGUAUGAUGAAGGCCUUCGGGUUGUAAAGUACUUUUGGCAGAGAAGCGGUAUCUGCAGAAUAAGCACCGGCUAACUACGUGCCAGCAGCCGCGGUAAUUC
RNAcentral lists this ribosomal RNA (407 nucleotides) under uncultured bacterium. Its description in RNAcentral is "partial 16S ribosomal RNA". It matches the Rfam family "Bacterial small subunit ribosomal RNA", at positions 30 to 526 of the family's 1533-position model. The record is from RNAcentral.